UAGGGAAUCUUCCACAAUGGGCGCAAGCCUGAUGGAGCAACACCGCAUGAGUGAAGAAGGGUUUCGGCUCGUAAAGCUCUGUUGUUAAAGAAGAACACGUAUGAGAGUAACUGUUCAUACGUUGACGGUAUUUAACCAGAAAGUCACGGCUAACUACGUGCCAG
RNAcentral lists this ribosomal RNA (164 nucleotides) under uncultured bacterium. Its description in RNAcentral is "partial 16S ribosomal RNA". It matches the Rfam family "Bacterial small subunit ribosomal RNA", at positions 355 to 511 of the family's 1533-position model. The record is from RNAcentral.